AUGUGGUGGAGGCCCGGCGGCGCGGCUUCCUGUGGGUGCCAUGGCGUUGGGUGGGCUCCUGUGCACAUCCGAGAGAGAGGUGAGAGCAGAGAAAUCACUACCGUUCCAAGGUCUCUGGUCUGGGAGCUUGUGAAGAAGAGCAAGUGCUUCUUGAUCAAGCAGUUUGGCAACAGCAACGCCAAGGUCCAGUUUCACAAGCCCAACAACCUCUACAAUGUCCGCUACUACAAGUUCUCAGGCUUAACAAACAGCAAGACCGUGGCGGUCCAGCCAUCAGCGGGAGAGGAGAAGGCUGUUGUCCUGUCCACGAGCAAGACCAAGAAGCAGGACACCUGUGCCAAGCUGUUGCACAAGACUCUAACGCGCAAGCAGUUCUGCAAGAUGGCCAAGUCUGUCCAGAAUCAGGUACUAACACAACAAAAAUUCUUACUUGAAAAGUUAGAAUGCACAUGUUAUGCUUGUUUCUAUGCUGCAACUCAUUUGUAUGUGCACCUGCUCUUAUAUACAUUUAACUGUUUUGUGGAUUGUACUAUUAACAUUUAA
Molecule: ribosomal RNA, 543 nt
Filed under: Triticum aestivum (bread wheat)
Lineage: Eukaryota; Viridiplantae; Streptophyta; Magnoliopsida; Poales; Poaceae
Description: partial small subunit ribosomal RNA
Source: RNAcentral